AUCUCCUACAAAUUCCUAUUUUGCAUAUUUGACAUAACCAUGAUAAUAUGUUAUCAUGGCUGCUUUUUUCCCUAAAAAGAGUGUAGAAAUGAAUUGACAUAUAGUGUUAAAAUUGUAAUUUGAAAGUAUUAAGGUGUAUAAUUCAUCAAGUAUUUGUGACUAAGGGGGAAAAAAGCAAGGGUAUACUCAUUUCUCAUAUGAGAUUAUGAAUGUAUGAGUAUAUGAGUGUAUCUGCUAAGUGUUCACGCAUUUCAACAGGGAAGAAAAGAAAAAGGAAAACAACACAACAUAAAGAUAGGAAGAAACAAAUUUAUGUUUCUAAUAACAUCGCUUUCUAUUUUAAAAAAAUCCUCCCAAAUCUGUGACAUUCCAGUAGUAAAAAAGCUUAUUAGUUUUAAGUAUACAAAGUCAUUUCAAAAACUGAAGAGGCUAGAGAGAUUGUACAAGAGCAUUUCUGCUCUUCCAGAUAACUCAACUUCUAUUAGCACCACUAAAACUGGGAGGCAAACUCCCACAUAUAAAACCAGAUACCAGAUAUCAGAUACCAUCAAAAAGAAAAAGAAAAAAGAAAAGGCUAUUUUACGUUUAGCACUGUAAAACACUAAUAUGUAGAAACAAAUCCAAUCUGUACCUUUCCUUGUGGUUUGUGUCUUCAGCUCAGGGCAUGUUUACAUGGAUGCAAUAUAAAGUAGUUUAGGAAGUUGCAAAAGAUCAAGGUGGAAAGGAAGAAGUUCCUGAUACAGCAUCCAGAAGAGUAGAAGAGAUCACUUGAUGUGUACUGGAACAAGGAGAAGGAUGGGGCAGUUCCCAUCAGUGACAUGACCACAGCUUGCAGCCGGGGCUGGGAAUCUUCGCAGGAGAACGGAUUCCCCUAACAGGGAUUCCGGGAGUCGGAAGCAGGGUCCCUCACCUGGACAUCAAGGAGAACGGGCCAAUUCCCGUGGGCGACGUGUCCACAAUGCUAUAGCCAGAGAAUUCGUAACGUAGCGGAAGGACAGAUACCCUUGAAAGGGCUUCCGGGAGUCUUCUGUGGGGUCCCUCACCACCCACAGGGUCACCUUGGAGAACGGGCCAAUUCCCAUGGGCGAUGUGUCCACAAUGCUGCAGCCAUAGAAUGUGUAACAUAGAGGAAGGACGGAUACCCUUGAAAGGACUUCCUGGAGUCUUCUGCAGGAUCACUCACCACCCGCAGGGUCACCUAGAAGAACGUGCUAAUUCCCGUGGGCAACAUUUCCGCAAUGGUGCACUCAGAGAAUGUGUAACGUAGCGGAAGGACGGAUACCCAGGAAAGGGCUUCUGGGAGUCUUCUGCAUGAUCCCUCACCACCCGCAGGGUCACCAAAGUGAACGGGCCAAUUCCCGUGGGCGACGUGUCCACAAUGCUGCAGCCAGAGAAUGAUUAAUCAUAGUGGAAGGAUGGAUAGCCUUGAAAGGGCUUCAUGGAGUCUUCUGCAGGAUCCCUCACAACCCGCAGGGUCACCUGGGAGAACGGGCCUAUUCCCGUGGGUGACGUGUCCACAAUGCUGCAGCCAGAGAAUGUGUAACUUAGCGGAAGGACGGAUACCCUUGAAAGGGCUUCCGGGAGUCUUCUACAGGGUCCCUCACCACCCACAGGCUCACCUAGGACAACAGGCCAAUUCCCGUGGGCAACGUGUCCACAAUGGUGCAGCCAGAGAAUGUGUAAGGUAGCGGAAGGACGUAUACUCUUGAAAGGUCUUCCAGGAAUCUUCUGUAGGAUCCCUCACCACCUGCAGGUUCACGAAGGAGAACGGCCCAAUUCCCGUGGGCAACGUGUCCACAAUGGUGCAGCCAGAGAAUGUGGAAGGUAGCGGAAGGACAUAUACCCUUGAAAGGUCUUCCAGGAGUUUUCGGCAGGAUCCCUCACCACCCGCAAGAUCACGGAGAACGGACCAAUUCCCGUGGGCAACGUGUCCACAAUGGUGCAGCCAGAGAAUGUGUAACAUAGCGGAAGGACGGAUACCCUUGAAAGGUCUUCUGGGAGUCUUCGGCAGGAUCCCUCACCACCCGCAGUGUCACCAAGGAGAACGGGCCAAUUCCCGUGGGCGACCAGUCCGCAAUGGUGCAGCCUGAGAAUGUGUAACGUAGCAGAAGGAUGGAUACACUUGAACGGGCUUCCAGGAGUCUUCUGCAGGAUCCCUCACCACCCGCAGCGUCACCUAGGAGAACGGGCCAAUUCCCGUGGGCGACAUGUCCACAAUGCUGCAUCCAGAGAAUUCAUAACGUAGCGGAAGGACAGAUACACUUGAAAGGGCUUCUGGGAGUCUUCAGCAUCGUCCCUCACCACCCACACGGUCACCUAGGAGAAAGGGCCAAUUCCCGUUUGUGCCUUGCCCACAAUGCUGCAGCCACAAAAUACAUAACAUAGCGGAAGGAUGGAUACCCAUGAAAGGGCUUCCGGGAGUCUUCUGCAGUGUCGCUCACCACCCACAGGGUCACAUAGAAGAACGGUCCAGCACGUUGUGUCAUUGAGUGCUCCACGGGGUCACUCCCACCUUCCUCACCCUGGGUCUCAACAACCAAUCAGCGGUCCUGUCGUGCCUGUGCCUUUCUGGUCUCCCUUCCCUGGGCCCAGGGCCAAUUCCCAUAGGCGACGUGUCCACAAUGCUGCAGUCAGAGAAUGCGUAAUGUAUCGGAAGGAUAGAUACCCCUGAAAGGGCUUCCGGGAGUCUUCUGCAGGGUCCCUCACCUCCCACAGGGUCACCUAGGAGAACGGGCCACUUCUGUGGGAUCCUUGCCCACAAUGCUGCAGCCAGAGAAUGUGUAACAUGAUGGAUGGAUACCCUUGAUAGGGCUUCCGGGAGUCUUCUGCAGUGUCCCUCACCACCCACAGGGUCACAUAGGAGAAUGGGCCAAUUCCUGUUGGUGUCAUGCCCACAAUGCUGCAGCCAGAGAAUGUGUAACGUAGCGCCAGGACAGAUACCCUUGUAAGGGCUUCCGGGAGUCUUCUGCAGCAUCCCUCACCACCCACAGGGUCACCUAGGAGGACGGGCCAGUUCCUGUGGGCAUCGUGCUCACAAUGUUCCAGCCAGAGACUGCGGAUCCUAGCGGAAUGGUGGAUGCCCCUUAAAGGGCUUCGGGGAGUCUUGCGCCGGGUCCCCGCCUCCCACAGUGUCACCGAGGGGGAACGGGGCAGUUCCUGUGGGUGGCAUGCCCACAGCAGUGCAGCCAGUUUCUGGGAAUCAUCGUGGAAGGGUGGAUGCCCCUGGCAGGGCGUCCGGGAGUCUGGCCCAGGAUCCCUCACCACCCACCGGGUCACUGAGGAGAAAGGGUAUUUUUGUUUUGCUUCAUUCCUUUAGCCAUGAUGGUAUUGUGAUUCUUUGUGGAGAUGGAGAAGGAGAUGAGGAGGUAGAAGAACGUGCUCCCUUUUUAAGCAUAUCCUGGAGCAACAUGUUCAGUAUUACUUUUUCUGAGAUGUUGCCCACUCUAUAAUCUUGGUAUGCAUGCAAGAACUUUCAUGUCCAGGAACCUGAAUAUUUGGCCAUGUUCCACAUCUAUAUUGCUAUGGCAGGAUGUGUUAAUAUCUACCUCUACUCUGAACUUGAGGCUUUGGUGGAAAAGAGAACCAGAUACAGAUGCGAAAAGCUGCUGCCUGAUUUUGUUUUUUCUGGAAUAGAUCUAUUUAUAUUACGGGCAGUGUGCAUGGGAGUCAUGCUCGACAAGAAGUGCUACUGUUUUCAUGAGCAGCAGAGACAGGUGAUAGCUCUGAAAGCAAUGUGACUUGAGGGUGGCUCAAUCUACCAAUGGAAUGCCAAGCAAGGAUGAUGAUGAAUGUUGAUAGAGUCCAAAAUGAAAGGGAAGUUUAUGCCCUGGUCCUAACUAUAAAAUGUUGAUUCUACUGAAUGAUUUGACAACCUUCUUCCAAAGUCUUCAUUCUUAUCUGCAGUGUUGGACUUCUGCAAGAAUAUGACUGACUGGGGACCUCUUCAGAGAGUGACUGAUGGCAGGAAUUUUCUCCAAACCAAGAGCUUUUCACUAGAUAUCCAAGAGCCAGCUUAUGAUGAUGAUGCCUACAGCGAUGAGCUGGAUUUAUUAUGGAUGGUGCCAUCAUUUCUACCAGCAGCUUCACCAGCACAGCCUUCUUCUUUCCUGUAUGGCAGUGGACACCUCCUGCAGAUAAGAAAUACUUAACUGAGAAAUGCUCGUGUUGGGCUGUCAUCGAUGAGACUUUAAUUUGGGCAUGGUUUUCCCUUGCUGCCACUUGACUCAAUCCAAGGAGCCUCAGUAGAGGAAAUAAUAUUAUACAAGAAGCUCAAAAUGGUGGAAUUGCUCAGUCAGUGCUCCUAUAAAUACACAUUUAUAAUUUUUAUUCGCCAUAUGAUCCUUUUUAAAUAUGACAUAUUGAAAAGAAACUGCAUGAAUUUUUUUCAAAAAUUCAAAGCAUAUUUAAAUAAUUAAUAUAUAAAUUAUGUGCCUCCUCUAUUUCAAGAUUAUAUCCCAAAAGUUUCCCUUCUCUAAAGGGAGGCAUGUACAUUUUUUGCACCCAUGUACACUCUAUUCUGGGGAGCAGUUCUAAAAUUGGGGCCAUAUUGUAACAUAUUCUUCUGAAAAUUGCUGCUUUCUUUUAAGAGUCUUAUCAAUGAGCCUUUUCUCUUUCAGUAAUACAUUCAUAUCUGUGUCAUUUGUUGAAUGACUGCAUGAGAGUUUUGUAGAUGGAAUAUAAUUCAGUGUCAUUUGUUGAAUGACUGCAUGAGAGUUUUGUAGAUGGAAUAUAAUUCAGUGUCAUUUGUUGAAUGACUGCAUGAGAGUUUUGUAGAUGGAAUAUAAUUCAGUGUUUUAAGCAUUUCUCAUUAAUAGGCAUUUGUGUUAGUACCAAAUUUCUGUACAAUGAACUUCCCUAUAUAUCAACAAUUCUGCAUUUGUCUAUUCUAUUUUAAUAAAAUUACCUAGCACUUAAAUUAUUGGAAUUAAGCAUAUUAACACUUCAAAUUUUGAAAAUCAUCACGAUUCCUUUUAAAAUGUGCUUUAACAGCCACAUCCUCGAUAGCAAUGAAUCAGAUUGCCAAUUUCUUCACAGUCCCCAUAUGAGUUUUACAAGUAUUUGAAAUUCUUUCCAAUGUGAUACCCCAAACUAUUGUCUUAAAUUGUAUUUUUUAUUUUGAUCAUUUUUCAUGUUUAUUAGCCAUCUGUAUUUUUUAAUUUCGUCUUCAUGUCCAAUUUUGGGAAUAUGGGGAGGCUUUAGUCCUUUUAAAGACCAUGUUUACAAUUGUGGAAAAAUAAGCUUUUGUAUUAUCAAGCAUUACAUAUGUUUUAAACUUCGUUUUUGUUAUAAGAAUGUGUAUGAUUGUUAUAUGUCCAAGUUUAACCAUGUUUGCUUUUAUGGCUUCUGAAUUUCAUGUCAUUUUUGGAGAAAAAUUAUACUGAGUCCAUAAAACCCUUCACCUAUGUUAACUCUUAAUUCUUUUGUGUUUUUUUAUUCAAAUUCGUAUAUCAUUAGAAAAUUUUGUUUUGAAGUCUUAAAGUUGCCAAGUUAUUUGCCAUUACUUAUGAUUAUUUGCCAACAAUUGCCCAUUUCUCUGUAAUACCAUCUUGCACAUAUGCUGUAUUCUCAUCCGUGACUGGCUCCAUUUGUUCUGUGGAUAUGUGUGUCUCUUCUGCCUCCUGUCUCAUGUGUUGUCUUAUUUGAAGAAAUUACAGUUUAGACUGCAAUUUCAUGUGCUUUAAUAAAUUAAUUUGGGGAGAAUUGUUUUUAGGUAAUAAGUUUUCAUAAUCAAUAAUAAGGCAUACUAUUUUAUUAAAAAUUAA
Molecule: long non-coding RNA, 5762 nt
Organism: Nannospalax galili (Upper Galilee mountains blind mole rat)
Lineage: Eukaryota; Metazoa; Chordata; Mammalia; Rodentia; Spalacidae
Exons: 25
Source: RefSeq, a predicted model, not a curated record